RNAcentral lists this ribosomal RNA (736 nucleotides) under uncultured bacterium. RNAcentral describes it as "bacterial SSU rRNA". It matches the Rfam family "Bacterial small subunit ribosomal RNA", at positions 28 to 776 of the family's 1533-position model. The record is from RNAcentral.
GACGAACGCUGGCGGCCCGUCUAACACAUGCAAGUCGAACGAGCGAGAGAGAGCUUGCUUCUCUUGAGCGAGUGGCGAACGGGUGAGUAACGCGUGAGGAACCUGCCUCAAAGAGGGGGACAACAGUUAGAAACGACUGCUAAUACCGCAUAAGCCCACGACCCGGCAUCGGGUUGAGGGAAAGGGAGCAAUCCGCUUUGAGAUGGCCUCGCGUCCGAUUAGCUAGUUGGUGAGGUAACGGCCCACCAAGGCGACGAUCGGUAGCCGGACUGAGAGGUUGAACGGCCACAUUGGGACUGAGACACGGCCCAGACUCCUACGGGAGGCAGCAGUGGGGAAUAUUGCACAAUGGGGGAAACCCUGAUGCAGCGACGCCGCGUGGAGGAAGAAGGUCUUCGGAUUGUAAACUCCUGUUGUUGAGGAAGAUAAUGACGGUACUCAACAAGGAAGUGACGGCUAACUACGUGCCAGCAGCCGCGGUAAAACGUAGGUCACAAGCGUUGUCCGGAAUUACUGGGUGUAAAGGGAGCGCAGGCGGGAAGACAAGUUGGAAGUGAAAUCUAUGGGCUCAACCCAUAAACUGCUUUCAAAGCUGUUUUUCUUGAGUAGUGCAGAGGUAGGCGGAAUUCCCGGUGUAGCGGUGGAAUGCGUAGAUAUCGGGAGGAACACCAGUGGCGAAGGCGGCCUACUGGGCACCAACUGACGCUGAGGCUCGAAAGUGUGGGUAGCAAACAGG